RNAcentral lists this non-coding RNA (621 nucleotides) under Clonorchis sinensis. Its description in RNAcentral is "Eukaryotic small subunit ribosomal RNA". It matches the Rfam family "Eukaryotic small subunit ribosomal RNA", at positions 4 to 605 of the family's 1831-position model. The record is from Rfam by way of RNAcentral. Lineage: Eukaryota; Metazoa; Platyhelminthes; Trematoda; Opisthorchiida; Opisthorchiidae.
CUGGUUGAUCCUGCCAGUAGUCAUAUGCUUGUCUCAGAGAUUAAGCCAUGCAUGUCUAAGUACAAACCUUCAAACGGUGAAACCGCGAAUGGCUCAUUAAAUCAGCUAUGGUUCCUUGGAUCGUACAUACUACAUGGAUAACUGUAGUAAUUCUAGAGCUAAUACAUGCCACUAUGCCCUGACCCGCAAGGGAACGGGUGGAUUUAUUAGAACAGAACCAACCGGCGGUGACUUCGGUUGCUGUCGUUGCAUUCUGUGAUGACUCUGGAUAACUUUACUGAUCGCAGUCGGCCUUGUGUCGGCGACGGAUCUUUCAAAUGUCUGCCCUAUCAAUUUUCGAUGGUAGGUGACCUGCCUACCAUGGUGAUAACGGGUAACGGGGAAUCAGGGUUCGAUUCCGGAGAGGGAGCCUGAGAAACGGCUACCACUUCCAAGGAAGGCAGCAGGCGCGCAAAUUACCCAAUCCCGGCACGGGGAGGUAGUGACGAAAAAUACGGAUACGGGACUCAUUAGAGGCUCCGUAAUUCGAAUGAGUACAAUUUAAAUCCUUUAACGAGGAUCAACUGGAGGGCAAGUCUGGUGCCAGCAGCCGCGGUAACUCCAGCUCCAGAAGCGUAUAUU